ACAUCUUUUUAGCCAAUUUAUUAAUUUAUUAUCUCUCUCUUGCGCACUCUCGCGUGUGGCUGUGUGCAUUCGCGUCUCUCUCUCUCUCUCUCUCUCUCUCUCUCUCUCUCUAUCUCUCUCUCUCUCUCUCUCUCUCUCUCUCUCUCUCUCUCUCUCUCUGUGUGUGCGCGUAGUUGUGUAGUCUCUCUCUUUCAGUGCGCGAGGAAGCGCCAGAGAGUCGCGGGCGGAGCGGAAGGGACUCUGCGGGAUUUGAGCGCUGAUCUCCGGCAGCAGAUCUCUCUGUGAUCGCGCUUCUGCUGCUGGAAACACCGGAGCACCGGUCACCACUCACCGGGAGUUACGGGAGAGAAGCGCGGGAUGGUGGACAACAACAAAACACAGAUGGAGGGUCUUUCUUCGGGCCUGAAGCUGGAGGCGAUGUUGGAGCAUCUCCAUCAGCAGCAGCAGGAGCGUCUGCACAGUGAGCAGCAGCAGCGGCGGCUCCGCGAGGCUCACUUCUUCUACACGCAGCAGCUUGCGGCUCAGCAGGCCAUACUAGCGGCCGCCCGCGCCUCUGGAGCCGCACUCAUCAACACACAUGCCUCACUGCUCUCCAGCAGCAGUGUGGACUCUGAGCGUGAGGAUGAGGAGGAGCGGGGCCGAGACUCCGCCGAGGAUGAAGAUGAAGAUGAUGAAGACAGUGAGGAAGACGAGCUCGACUUCCUUCGUAAGCAGAGUUUGGCGCUCCAGCAGAGAGAUACAGCUGUUUCUGGCAGCCGGUCAGGCCCCGGGGCCCCUGGAGCUACAGUCAGGGUUAAAGAGGAGCCCGAGGAGGAGCCGAGCCCUGCUGACCGGCCCUCAGAUACAUCUCCAAAUGGCCCUGCGGACUGGAGCUAUGAGGAGCCAUUUAAAGCGGUAAGAGUGCUGGAUUAUUCUUAUGUACAGAGAUACUUUAAUGAAUGCUGAAAAGUAUCUUAUUUUGUGUUCAAAAGAGAAUUUAAAGAAGUAAGAGUGCUGGGUUAUUCUCAUUUACAGGGCGAGUUUUCAGCAUUCUUCAAAGUAUCUUAUUUUGUGUUCUAAACUGAAUUUAAAGUGGUAAGAUCGCUGGGUUAUUCUCAUUUACAGGGCGAGUUUUCAGCAUUCUUCAAAGUAUCUUAUUUUGUGUUGAACUGAAUUUAAAGUGGUAAGAUCGCCGGGUUAUUUUGAUUUACAGGGCGAGUUUUCAGUAUUCUUCAAAGUAUCUUAUUUUGUGUUGAACUGAAUUUAAAGUGGUAGGAUCGCUGGGUUAUUUUGAUUUACAGGGCGAGUUUUCAGCAUUCUUCAAAGUAUCUUAUUUUGUGUCCAAAAGAGAAUUUAAAGUGGUAAGAUCGCUGGGUUAUUCUUAUUAACAGGGCGAGUUUUCAGCAUUCUUCAAAGUAUCUUAUUUUGUGUUCUAAACUGAAUUUAAAGUGGUAAGAUCGCUGGGUUAUUCUUAUUUACAGGGCGAGUUUUCAGCAUUCUUCAAAGUAUCUUAUUUUGUUUUCUAAACUGAAUUUAAAGUGGUAAGAUCGCUGGGUUAUUCUUAUUUACAGGGCGAGUUUUCAGCAUUCUUCAAAGUAUCUUAUUUUGUUUUCUAAACUGAAUUUAAAGUGGUAAGAUCGCUGGGUUAUUCUUAUUUACAGGGCGAGUUUUCAGCAUUCUUCAAAGUAUCUUAUUUUGUUUUCUAAACUGAAUUUAAAGUGGUAAGAUCGCUGGGUUAUUCUUAUUUACAGGGCGAGUUUUCAGCAUUCUUCAAAGUAUCUUAUUUUGUGUUCUAAACAGAAUUUAAAGCAGUAAGAGUGCUGGGUUAUUCUUAUUUUCAGGGAGAGUUCACUCUAAAAUGAACGUGGAUAUGGUUAUAUAUAUACUUUCUUCUGUUGAACAUUAAGAUAUAAAAUGCUGAAAACCUGUAACCAUUGACUUUCAUAGUAUUUGUUUUUCCUACUAUGGAAGUCAAUGGUUACUGGUUUUCAGCCUUUUGUAUCUGCUUUAAUGUUCAGCAGAAGAAAAGAAACUUCAAGUUAAAAAGUUAAAACUAAGACAAGUAAAAGGAGAGCAAAUUAUGACAGAAUCUUCAGUUUUAGGCUGAACUUUAUCUCACUGGGGUUAUUAUCAUUUAAAGCAGGGGUGUCCAAACUCUGUCCUGGAGGGCCGGUGUCCUGAAGAGUUACGCGCCGACACUAAUCACACCUGAACUGGCUGAUCAAGCUCAUACUAGUUAUUCCUAAAAACUUCCUGGCAGGUGUGUUAAAGCAAGUUGGAACUAAAGUCAGCAGUCACCGGCCCUCCAGGACCGAGUGUGGACAGCCCUGUUUUAAAGGGAUGGUUCAUUCCAAAAUGAACAUUUCUGCACUAUUUACUCUCCCUUAUAUAUAAUCUCUUUCUUCUGUUAAACAUUAAAGAAGAUAUUUUGAAGAAAGCUGAAAAGAUAUUUUGAGAAAUGCUGAAAACUGGUAACCAUUGACUUCCAUAUAGUAUGAAAAACCAGUUACCAGUUUUCAGCUUUCUUCCUGUAUCUUUCAAUAGGAAAAGGUUUUUUUUUAUAAGUAUGAGCUCUCUUAAAGGGCCAGUUCACCUCAAAAUUACAAUUUACUCACUAUUUACCGUCUCUCGAGUGGUUAUAUUUACUUUUUGAAAAAGUGAAAGCUGAUAACCUGUAACCAUUGCCUUGGCUGGAAAAGCAAAUAUUAUAGAACUCAAUGGUUACCGGUUUUCAGCAUUCUUCAGAAUAUCUUCUUUAGUGUUUAACAGACAAAAGAAACUCAUAAAGGUUUAAAACAAGCAAAGGGAGAGUAAUUGAUGACAGAGGUCAGUUAUGAGCUGAACUUUGGUUCUCAAUUUACUGUAUGAGUAUCUAAACACAUUUUAAAGUCGCUGUGCUCUUACAUGAGAAGUUCAUUCAUUCAUUUUCCUUUGGCUUGGUCACUUGUUUAUCAGGAGUCACCACGGCAAAAUGAACCACCAACUAUUCCAGCAAAUGUUUUACGCAGCGGAUGUCUUUUCAGCAAAAAUCCAGUGCUGGGAAACACCCAUACACACUCAUUCACACUCAUUCACUACGGCAAGUUUAGUUGAUCAGUUCCCCUAUAGCGCAUGUGUCUGGACUGUGGGGGAAACCAGAGCACCUGGAGGAAACCCACGGCAACACCAGGAGAACAUGCACUUGACUUCAUUUAACGCAAUUAACUUCUCAUAUAUUUAGACGGUGGCUCAGUGGUUAGCACUGUGGCCUCACAGCAAGAAGGGUGCUGGUUCAAGCCCCGGCUCGGUCAGUUGGCAUUUCUGUGUGGAGUUUGCAUGUUCUCUCCAUUAGCGUGGGUUUUGGAAGGGCAUGCACUGCGUAAAACCAACCCAGUCUCAUUCUGAAAACGUUGUCCAGUGGACGUUUCUGGAGCCCGCGUAAUACGUCCCGGUAGGUAGGUAUUUGUGCAGUUCUUGUUCUUGCGAAUCGGCGAGAGGCCGCUGUGUACGCUUUUUCGUAUCUCGAACGUCUCUCGUGAGUGCCGUUCGCGCCCGCGCUGUUCUUGCAUCAACCCACCAGAGGCCGCUGUCUGACUGACCGAAUGAUUGACUGCGUGAUAGGCCAAUCGGCUGACCCACCCUCCUCCUUCCCUAAACCCAACCAGUUUUACCGAUUGACCCACCCGCUUGCUUACUUCCCUAAACCCGAGCAACAAUUUAGAAAAGCCGUCUAGAAAAAGACUGAUUUUUACCACGUUUUACCACGUUUUUUACAUUAUUUUACCACGUUCUCACGCUGUUAUGAACUCGUUCGCUUUAUUUUUUGGAUUCUGUUUUUGUCUGACCUGCUUUCUGGAACCGCUCUCCGGCCUCGAACCCGCUCGCCGUGGUCAACUCCUCCUCUCUGCAUCUGAAGUCUGUCGACGCACACGAUGAGCUGACUGGACAAACUGAUUGCGGCGGGAAAGCCCUCCACACGGAGGUAAGCGGUCAGCCGGUAAGCGUGAAAGGGAACGGUGUCACACCGCCCCGUAGCGUUCGCUUAAACAAAUGAAAUGCAGCCAUACAUACCUCCCGGGACGUAUUUCGCGCUCUCCAGAAACGUCCACGGGACUACGUUUUCAGAAUGAGCCUGGGUUGCGUAAAACAUAUGCUGGAUAAGUUGGCGGUUCAUUCCGCUGUGGCGACCCCUAGUAAAUAAGAGACUAAGCUGAAGGAAAAUUAAUGAAUUGGAAGCCAAAGAAGAUCAGGUGUGAAGUGUUUUUGUGAUGUAAUAUUUGUACCAAAAUUCUUAAAACGUACCUGCAAUUCUGAACUGGUCAAGUGAGUGUGUGUGUGAGUGUGUGAGCGCACGUGUGUGUGUGUGCAUAUGUGUGUGAGAGCUCUGCUGGCCCUCAGGAGAAACAUCUGCUCUGCUUGCUGUCAUCCUGCUCUUAGUGUGUGUGUGUGUGUGUGUGUGUGUGUGUGUGUGUGUGUGUGUGUGUGUGUGUGUGUGUGUGUGUGUUUGUGUGUGUGUGUUUGUGUGUGUGUGUUUGUGUGUGUGUGUGUGUGUGUGUGUGUGUGUGUUCUGGCACUUCGCUGUACUCAGUUGUUCUCCUGAGCUCCUGCCAAACACUGAGUCAACUUUGGCCGGCGUCCAGACCGAGUAAAGAGACAUUUGGCCUGAUUUUGUCAGUUCACACGUGGGAGUGUUUGUGCACGUGUGCGGUGGGUGUGUGUGUGUGUACAGUAGCUACAGUGAUGAUCUCUUUAUAUAUGCAUACACUGAUUAUUGUGAAAUCAUAAGCUACUUCUGCGAUGCAUUUGGAUGUUGUCUUGUGCGGUGUGAACUCAGUUGUGUUUGCUGCUGUAGUGUGAAGUGAAACAGAAUAUGUGUACACUUCGCAUUCAUGCAUUGAGCAGGAUGUGGAUCUUUCUGAUUAUCAUCAGCAGUGUUGGAAACAAUGUCUUUUCUGUAAUGCAGUGAAGUGGAAAGUAAAGUUUACAUUUAUUUAUCUACGGCUGCACAAUUCUAGGAAAAUGUGCAAUAUGGGAUAUGAAGAGUUCAGAUGCAAAACCCUGUAAACCCAUCACACCUCUUCUCCUGUAAAUGAGCA
Danio rerio (zebrafish) is the source of this 5054-nucleotide long non-coding RNA. NCBI's taxonomy places the organism in Eukaryota, Metazoa, Chordata, Actinopteri, Cypriniformes, Danionidae. The record is from Ensembl.